Molecule: ribosomal RNA, 450 nt
Filed under: uncultured bacterium
Lineage: Bacteria
Description: bacterial SSU rRNA
Rfam family: Bacterial small subunit ribosomal RNA
Source: RNAcentral
ACAUGCUUUACACAUGCAAGUCGAACGCAAAGAAGUUGGUGAAAAUCAAUUUUAGGAGUGGCGAACGGGUGCGUAAUACUUAGAAAGAAUGCCUUUAAAUUUAGUUAACGGGCUGUAUAGGAUUUAUCUUAUAUGGUUUAAAUGCUAAAUAAUAAUUUUCGUGAGAAAAUUAGAAAAGAUCAAAAAGAUAUGUAAAUAUAGAUCGUUUAAAGAUUUUUCUAGGGAGUUUUAGGUUGUUGGUAAGGUAAAAGCUUACCAAGCCGAUAAUGCUUAGCCGGUCUGAGAGGAUGAUCGGCCACAUUGGGACUGAGACAAGGCCCAAACUUAUAUAAGGCAGCAGUGGGGAAUCUUGGACAAUGGGAGAAGUCCUGAUCCAGCAAUGUUACUAGGGUGAUUAACGACUGUAAAAAGAACCAGGUCGUAAAACUCUGUUGCCAAGGAAAAUAAUGA